RNAcentral lists this non-coding RNA (85 nucleotides) under uncultured Enterocloster sp. RNAcentral's name for it is "Glycine riboswitch". It matches the Rfam family "Glycine riboswitch aptamer", at positions 9 to 86 of the family's 94-position model. From Rfam's summary of the family: This family represents the bacterial glycine riboswitch. Glycine riboswitches usually consist of two metabolite-binding aptamers domains with similar structures in tandem. Lineage: Bacteria; Bacillati; Bacillota; Clostridia; Lachnospirales; Lachnospiraceae. The record is from RNAcentral.
AAACUCUGGAGAGUCUCAAAAUGGGCGCCGAAGGUGUACGGCAGGCAGCGAUGCCUGUUAAUCUCUCAGGCAAAAGGACAGAGCA